GACCGUGACCAAAUCCUCCGGGAUGAUCCUGGUCUCGUCAAGACCUCGGAAGCUAAGCAUGGUGGAGCCUGGAUAGUGCUUGGAUGGGCGACCACCACCGUGCAUGAGCCAGGUGCUACAGGCU
This 124-nucleotide ribosomal RNA is filed under the name Petromyzon marinus (sea lamprey). Lineage: Eukaryota; Metazoa; Chordata; Hyperoartia; Petromyzontiformes; Petromyzontidae. The record is from RNAcentral.